This 1075-nucleotide long non-coding RNA is filed under the name Bos indicus x Bos taurus (hybrid cattle). RNAcentral's name for it is "lncRNA (ENSBIXG00005008251.1)". The record is from RNAcentral. Lineage: Eukaryota; Metazoa; Chordata; Mammalia; Artiodactyla; Bovidae.
UGGACUGAAAAUAAAGAGGAAUUGACAGCUGUGAGAUAUUUCAUAAAUCAAUGGGGCCCACUCACUGACAAGAGACAGAGAAUUACAGUGAAAUCAAAGGAGAAUACAUCAAAGAUGAUUCAUUCUGUCAUGAUCAGUGAAUGAGUCAAAAAUAAUUUUUACAAAGAUUCCAGUAGCUAGAUUACAUAGUUAAUGUGAGAUAAUAGUAAUUAGCAAAGGUUGCUCUAUGGUUGGGAAUAGUUCUUUGUACAAAUUUUUUUUUUUUCUUGUUACCGUGGCAUAUUUUUGCAAUAUUAUUGUUGUUGUCAUUAUUGUGCAUUUAUUUGCAAUGGUGGGCCCAUAAUGAGGUGUGAACUGCUCCCCUGGAGUAGAUUAGACACUUUUGGAAAGUUUGUAUUAUAUCUUUGGAGCCAUGAGGGUGCUGUUGAGUAAACUGCUACUCCCCCACACCCACCUCAUUUCUGCGCAUAAGAAAUGUAUCUCAUGAUACUCUAGCCUUAAAGAAAAAUGUUAAUGAAUCUUUCAACUGUAUUUAUUUUUCCUAGGUCCUUCGGAUUAGAAUAUAUUUCUAGCUAUCACAUUUCCCUACCUCUUUAUCUUCAACAGUUUUCUUGGAGAAUUAACCUAGGAGGAAGAAGGGUGUUCAGAGUUAUCAAGAAGUCUCUGCCAAAGAGAGGAUAAAAUGAAAAUGAUUCAUCUUCAGCUCAAGUCGUUGGUCCAGCUCUUCAUCAUUUAAUCUGAGACACAACUAGGAAUCCCACAGAAGAAGGAUUUUUACGGCACCAUGCAGAAAGCUCUCAUUCCUUAGAAUCAAAACUUUCCACAUCGGGUAAGUUCUUUAUCUUUGUUGCGUUGUUUCUGCUUGUUGUUAUUAGCUGCUUAGUCGUGUCCACCUCUUUUGUGACCCUGUGUGCUGUAACCUGCCAGGUUCCUCUGUCAUGGGAUUUCCCACGCAAGUAUACUGGAGUGGGUUUCCAUUUCCUUCUCCAGGGGUAACCUUCCCGACCCAGAGAUUGAACCUGUGUUUUCUACAUUGGCAGGCAGAUUCUUUACCACUGAGCUACCAGGAAAGCCC